CAGGCUCGGGUGGCUUUUCGUUUUCGGCGUGCGAGUUCUGGGAACCGCAUGACCAUAUCCACAUUUCGUUGGGUUUAGGGUCGUGGUGGUGUCCGGCGCUGUAGGAGCUAGAGCUUGCGGGUGGGAACCGGAUGUAUGUUCUGACAUGGCCAACGGCCAAUCUUGCAUUGGCACCCACUUAUCCUAUCAGAUCGUAUAUUUGGUACGCUUUCUCCGACCGGAAAUCUGGUGAUCGGCAGCGCCAGAUCAAGACAGACGAGUGCGGACUGCCCCCAUGUGAUAGGAGGUAGGAGCAGGUGGGCGGGAACAAGAGCUGCGGCAGUUGGCUGGUGUUUGGAGAUCUGGGUAUCUGAUAUUGUUUUUAUCAGCUAAUUAAUUAUGAUAUCAUACCACUUCAAUUUAUUUCUUCUCCCAUAUUAUUUACGCAGAAUGUCAUACUACUUU
RNAcentral lists this long non-coding RNA (444 nucleotides) under Panicum hallii. RNAcentral describes it as "long non-coding RNA (PHAL_LNC000085)". The record is from RNAcentral. Lineage: Eukaryota; Viridiplantae; Streptophyta; Magnoliopsida; Poales; Poaceae.